Oncorhynchus kisutch (coho salmon) is the source of this 11692-nucleotide RNA transcript. It is a transcript of the gene named potassium channel tetramerization domain containing 5b, with no coding region annotated. The transcript has 5 exons. NCBI's taxonomy places the organism in Eukaryota, Metazoa, Chordata, Actinopteri, Salmoniformes, Salmonidae. The record is from RefSeq and is a predicted model, not a curated record.
CUUCGGCUCGCCGUGGUGAGUUUGAUACUCCGGGACUAUGAGGUGCGUUUGCGCCAUUUGGAUGUUGUGUCUGGAAGCAAUGAGUGAUUUAUUUAACGGGCAGCGGUGCAUUUUGAAUCCACAACCCAUCCCCUCUUUUUUUAACUGGUCGUUCAGAACAGCACUUUUUACGUUUUUUUCGUACUGAACGCAGCCCAGUGAAUGGCGUGGAGCCUACUGGAGAGGAAAAGCUUCCUGUCAACAGCCUCACCCAGUCAUACCGGAGGGCGUAGAAGAGGGGAUGGCAGAAAACAGCUCCGAUACUUGUGGUUCCGUUUAUCGGAGGUGUUUGACUCAUUCUACCGGGGGAAAAACCCAGUCAACCAGUAACGGGGCAUCCAAAUGGGUUCGAUUGAACGUGGGGGGAACGUAUUUCUUAACAACACGACAGACGCUGUGCCGAGAUCCGAAAUCAUUUCUGUACCGACUGAGCCAGGCUGACCCCGACCUCGACUCUGAUAAGGAUGACACUGGUGCCUAUCUCAUAGACAGAGACCCCACAUACUUUGGGCCGGUACUGAACUACUUGAGGCAUGGCAAGCUGGUGCUCAACAGGGAGCUGGCAGAGGAAGGUGUCCUGGAGGAAGCCGAAUUCUACAAUAUCACAUCAUUAAUAAAGCUCCUCAAGGACAAGAUCAGGGAACGAGACUGCAAAACAUCACAGGCUCCAGUGAAACAUGUGUACCGGGUGCUGCAGUGCCAGGAGGAGGAGCUCACCCAGAUGGUGUCCACCAUGUCUGACGGCUGGAAGUUUGAGCAGGUAACGCUGCCUCUCACCACGAGGAGCCAAAUGUCCUCCUUUUAUUUGUACUUCCCUCGACCCAUAAUCCUCAACGCCCAAACAAUCCAAUUCAUGAAUUGGAAAUUAACAUUAAAAAAACUGUUACAUUUUCUGUGUCUUAUACGUGAUCCGGGCAUCCCUCUGUGCUCUGAUUUGGUUGUUGCAGCUUGUCAGUAUAGGUUACGGGCGGGCCCAGCAGUCAGAGUUUCUGCUGAUUGUGUCAAGGGAGGUGAAGGGGGAGGAGUCUACUUUCCCAAGCCACAGCGGAGAGGUGUGUCCCACAAUGUUCCGUCCACGGGCUGGUCACUGCAUGUCCCCUAUGUACCCAUUCACAACCCUUUUGGCCUCUGUCCCAACUCUAUGAACAGUAGGCAGCCAUUUUGAGUUGAUUUCAAUUUUAAGAUGUGUACUGUUCAACAAAGGACCCAAGUGAACACAGCACCCUUUCUAUGUCUGUUUGAUUAUCCCCUCCCCCUUUACAAUUUUGUUUUCAGUUUGUUGGUGAUAUGCAGGUUGUUCCACAAAGAUCUAUUGUUUUUUUUAUAGACAUUGUGUGGCAAUAUGGUAUUUUAAAAGCCUGUUACAUUAUAUGAACUGCCCUUUUUAAUAUAGACCACAUCGAGAAUUUAUUCAAAUCAGUUUUUUAUAUGAAAAAAGGCUUGCGAAAGUGCAAAAAUUCAACCCUGUGUCACUUCUAGGACGAUUUUUAUCCCACUUAAUCCCCAAAAUAAAGCCCUAGUUAUUUUGUUGCUUUGACAGUCAUUUCUGAAGAUUAUUUAUUUCAUGUGAUUAGUGAUUCAUUUACGUCUGUCCCUCAUUUUAAGGUCAACCCUGUUACGUGAACUGAACUCUCAUUUUUAAAAUGGUGAAACUAUUCCUAAAAAAAAAAGAUCUAACAUUUGAAUAUCUAUCUAAUAGUGACUAUCUAAUAGUCAAAUCCUAAAAGCAGGUGAGCUGGUUCUACUCUUUGGACAUUUUCCAGUGUUUCGUGGUGGAAAACUGAGCAGGUUGAGAGAAACGCGUCAACCCUGUGACUCAUAAAUAGGCAGGCUAGAAAUGUUUCAAUUGCCAUCCCCUGUUGCACACAACAAGCUGCCAUUCCCCCUGUCACAAAGGGAUGUAUGGCUGAUUUUAAGAAGAAAUCGUCAACCCUGUAUUCUUUUAACCCAUGCUAGUUGAUGAGAGAAGGAAGAGAUUGAAGCCUGAUUAGACUAUUCACCUUAUGUAGCCAGGGAGAAGUAGUCGCUAGAUAUAAAUCACACUUUUUCAAGUUAUUCAACAAACUGCAUAGAAUCUGAAAGAUUGAUUUAUUAACAUGAGGAAAAUGAUAUACAUUUUGUACAUUUAAUUUAAACGCUGACAUUUGUGCAGUUAGCAUUCCCAUAGACUCAACAUGGAUGGUUAUCUAGAUAGCGUAUUUAAACUAUAUAAUGGUCGUUAUCCUCACAGGCUAUUUCCCUUUUCACUCGAAGAGCAAUACUUGAAAGGAUGACUGUUAGACACGAAUACCAUUGACAAAAGACAGACACAAUAGAUUGACAAAAACAAACUCUUAUCCAAUGUAAACGUCGCACAUGAGUUCCCCUUGGGGAUAGAUCCAGAAUCUCCUCAUUGCCGCCCAUCAAAAUUAGCCUGCAUUUAGGUUGUUUAUGCAUUUCACUAUGUUGAGGUAAAAAUCUGAGUAUAAUGCUUGUGUGAAUGUCAACCCCAAAACUUGUUCAUGUCAUCAUCAACUGCAUUACACUCAAACUAAUUCAACUACCACCACCAAUUUUUCUAUAUCACUAGCUUUGCUACCAGCUUAUACAAAACGGGAGUUAUUAUUUAGCAGAGAUUUUUUUUUUUUAUAAACCCGAAAAGGACGACUUCUAAAUAUUAUGUAGGGAACACAGCCAAAUGUAUCCUAAUCGGAUUUUACUAACCACACUGUGGGCCUGUUAGAACACACAAAUCGUGAUGGACUGGACUGUUUUUGAUUGGACACCAAUGAUGGCGUCCUUCUUCUAGCCACGACGGUCUGCGUUCCAUUGAUCUCUUUACUGCAUGUGUGCCGAGAGGGUUUUCUGCAGAUAACAUUAGGUCGUUUUCGAUCUCUUUGUGCCACACAACUAACUAGCUAACAUCCAUAUUUUAGCAUGUCAUUGCUGUCUGAUGAAAACCUCCAUAAGUACAUGUUUUGCCAAUUGUAAUUAUUUUACAUGUAGGUAGUAACUCACAUCAAUGUACCCUGAAUAUUUCAGAACAUUCUAGGACCUGGAAAAUAUAUUCCAAAUAGCUUCUUGAAAUUGUAGGUUUGUUAAUGGUCCCCUCAACUAUAUUCAACUAUAUUCUACUGUAGCCUACUGAUGUUACAGGUGUGUUUCAGAAAUUAGGGGGGGGGGUUAUUAGAGAAGAAUGGAUCAAACUUUUCAAUGCUAGGUAAGGAUACUAUAGUUAAUUCAGUGGAUGUAUUAACUACAGAAAGGUAAGAUGUUUUUAUUUUAAUUCUGGUGCCGCGCUGCACACACAUGCAUGUUAGCUCGCUAGCCAGCUCUGGUCCAGACAUUCAACGUUUCUCAAUAGAAGCCGCUCCUCCGUAGGUAUAAUUCUGUUGGCCUAAUUCAGAUUAUGCAUGUCAUAACAACAAGAUGCCCAGUGCUUCAAGCCUCCCAUCCUCUCCCUACCCGCAUAAUUGUCACGUCUCGCGCCCUACACUUGUCGGUCCAAUGCAUGAAAAUAGCUUGCCCGCUCCAUAGCAAACUGCUCUAUCUGCGCUGAUUGGUGACGUCAUUUAGUGUUGAGCUAAAUGUAAAUUUGAGGUUUUAAAAAGGAACAAAGGAACCAUAUAAACCAUAAUGGGUAUUUUUUUUCUGGGUUUUUUCAAACCGGUUCAGAACUAUAUUUUGCUAGUCAGAACAGUGGAAUGGAACUAAUAGAGUAAUGGUUCUGUUUAGAACGAAACGAUUCACACUGCCCUUGCCUUUUUGAAUGAGCACUCUGCUCUCUUGCCAGUUCACUUCAACAAUUGUGGUCAGAGUACUCUUACAUUCACAUUGCUGUGUUUAGAAAUGAACCAAGCUCAUCUUCCAAUAUCGACUCAAUCCACUAUGGGUAAAUGUUUAGGAUAAGCCAUACCAUAAGAACCGGUUGGAAGAUAAUAGAUUUUAGUUCAUCAAAGACCAUUCUAAUCAAAAGAUUAUUAUAUUUAAUGUAAAUAUGACUGGUAACAGGGUAAAUGGCAGAAUAUUAACUGCUUUAUUUGAAAAUUGUAUAUGCAAUGUAGGAUACUGCCCCUUUAAGAGCUUGUGUUGAUUUUGUAAUCUAGUUGUGUGGUUUUCAUCAAAUGUUACUUUAUUCAAGCCCCACAAUCGAGUAAACAAACGUUUAAAAAAUGUUUAGAGCUCUAAAUCUAAACAUUGUUUAACUACAUCCAUAUUUUGGAAUCCUUAAAUUGCUGCCUAAUGUCCAGGAACGGCACGCAUGUUUUCCUCCACCAACCUGCACAUCUUCUCUCGUUUGUGGCACCAACGUGAGGGGUUAUAGCAGGGUAAACGGUGUUGCAGUAGCCUACUACAUGGUGUGGUAACAAUGACAAGCGAGCCUGGAGAGCUUUGGGUUCACAUUGCACUGAAAAAGAGAACCGGACCGUGGUCUUCAAACCAACCGAACUCAGACCACCUCUCGAGAUGGAUUCAGUUUGGCUUGCUCCAAGGGGCUCUUUUGAGGGAUCUGAAUUAUUUUGGAGCGUUCGCAUUGCACCAAACUUUAACCCAAACCGAGUUCACCAACAAUUUCUGAAAGGGACCAAGUGUAAAAUAAAACGUAGGUCAUACCGCCAUGUCCAAUUUAGCUCAAUCUCCUAUUUCUCAGCCUUUGAGUAUCUUUGAAUGAAUAACAGAAAAUGUUUAUGAACAUUUGCUGUGAAUGAAAUUGAGCAGAAAAAUAUCUGUUCAAAACACAAACAUAAAACAUCAAAUUUGACUAAAUGUGUAAUGUUCAAAUGUAUGCUUGUUUUGGGGAAUUAACACCAGUUACUGCUUGACACUCUGUUUUGACUCCGAGUUGGUAAUUGCAAUGACCCAAUUCAGCGCUUUUAGGGUUUUGGGGGGUUUGUGUGCAGGCUAUAAGUGUGCGCGGAUAAACUCUGAAUCUCCCCUGGCCCCACUAUCCCUUUGGGGGGGUAAGAACGAACACUGGAUCUCCCUCGGAGCAGGAAUCUCACUAAUCUUCUUAUAGGGUUCCCGAUGGGAAGCCCCUUAAAACACUUCGACCUUUAGCUUAAGGCUCAGCAGCAGUGAGUCCUGCGAUCUGGGCAUACGCACUCCGCUAACCUAUUGCCCUACUUUCAGAGCCACCCAGUCCUGGUUUGUGUUCAUUGGGGAACGUUUUGCAACAACAACAAAAAUAUAAUUAUUAUUCAGAUUGAAACUUGAAGGUAUGGUACAGUACCUGCUAACUUUAACGUUUAGCAUUGAUUAUAGAGUAGCCUAAUACUUUCGCCUCCUGUGUGAGACGUCUCUUGGCAACAACAGGGUUCCUGCAGAAGUGACUAAUGAGUCUGUAUGUUGAGACAUACACACCUACAGAGUACACUGUUAAGUUCUCAUACACUACAUGACAAAAAGUAUAUGGACACCUGCUCGUCAAACAUCUCAUUCCAAAAUCAUGGGCAUCAAUAGUUGGUCCCCCCCUUUAAUGCUACAAGAGCCUCCCACUCUUCUGCGAAGGUGUUCCACUAGAUUUUGGAACAUUGCUGCAGGAACUUGCUUCCAUUCAGCCACAAGCAUUAGUGAGGUCGGGCACUGAUGUUGGCCAUUUAGGCCUGGCUCGCAGUCGGCGUUCCAAUUAAUCCCAAAGGUGUUUGAGGUCAGGGCACUGUGCAGGUUAGUGAAGUUCUAACACGAUCUUGACAAACCAUUUCUGUAUGGACCUCACUUUAUGCAAGGGGGUAUUGUCAUGCUGAACCAGGUAAGGGCCUUCCCCAAACUGUUGCCACUAAGUUGGAAGCACAGAAUCGUCUAGAAUGUUAUUGUAUUCUGUUGCUUUAAGAUUAUCCUCCACUGGAACUAAGGGGCCUAGUCCGAAUCAUGAAUAACAGCCCCAGACCAUUAGUCCUCCUCCACCAGAUUUUACAGUUGGCAUUAUACAUUCAGGCAGUUAGCGUUCUUCUGGCAUCAGCCAAACCCAGAUGGUCACUCCAGAGAACGUGUUUCCACUGCUCCAGAGUCCAAUUGCGGCAAGCUUUACACCACUCCAGCCAAUGCUUGGCAUUGCACGUGGUGAUCUUAGGCUUGUGUGACGCUGCUUGGCUAUGGAAACCCAUUUCCUGAAGCCCCCGAUGAACAGUUCUUGUGCUGACGUUGCAACUCGGUAGUGAGUGUUGCAACUGAAGACAGAUGAUUUUCACGUGCUUCAGCACUCGGCGGUCCCUUUCUGUGAGCCUGUGGGGCCUUCCACUUGUUGCUUCUCAACAAUAACAGCACUUACAGUUGACUGUGGUAAACUUGUUGGAAAGGUGGCAUCCAAUGACGGUGCUACUUUGAAAAUCACAGCUCUUCAGUAAGGCCAUUCUACUGCCAAUGUUAAGCUAUGGAGAUUGCAUGGCUGUGUGCUCGAUUUAAUACACCUGCCAGCAACAGGUGUGGCUAAAACGGCUGAAAACACACAUUUUUUUGAAGGGGUGUCCACAUACUUUUGUGUGUGUAUAUAGUGUAUGUGCGCACGCUGACUGGUUGAACGCUAAAGUUAAAAGCAUUCGACUGAGUGGAGGAACAUUUUGUGUUUGUCUGACCUUGUCAAAUAUGUAUUUGCAUGACAUCGUAUCACCUCACCGUCUGCAUGUUUGUUUAAUGUCCUGGUAUCCCUGUCUGCUUUGUGUCCGUUUAAAAAGGAACUAACAUCUUAAGGGAGCAAAUAUGACCCCUCACCCCCACCCACCCACACACACAUUAAUUACUUUCUACAUAUUUGGAGUCUGUAGCCAACUCAUCUUUUGUUCUGAUCUGUUUCUGGCUCUGUCUCAUGUAUGUUCUACGUAUUCUCUAAUGCUUUUAAUUUCUGUUCAAACUCUUCACAUCUACACUGUAAUCCUCUUUUCUCUCUCUCUGAAGCUAACUCUCUUUCUCCCCCCCCCCCCCCCCCCCCCCCCCCAGCUGGUCAGCAUUGGAUCCUCUUAUAACUACGGAAACGAGGACCAAUCUGAGUUCCUGUGUGUCGUCUCCAAGGAGCUGCACAACCAAUCAUAUGGCCCAAACAGUGAGCCCAGUGAGAAAGCCAAGAUUCUUCAGGAGAGGGGAUCCAGGAUGUGAAUGAUCAGUAUUACAAGCAGCAGGUAUAGAGUACAAUCGUGUGAGUCAUAAUACCCAUAAAACCUAGCAGUCAAACAGGGAAAUGGUUACAAUUGUUUUUCCACCGUUCAUUUAUCCCAUAGGGGAAAUUUUUACCAUAGGGAAACACUUAAAAUAAAAUAAAAUAUUAAUCGAAUUAACUACUAAUGUCGCUAUCAUAAAGAACAAAUACGAUGAGGAUCUGGAUGAGACUGCUGAAUUGAGGCAAAGAUAGUUAAUCCAGAGACUCUUAUCUAAUGAUGGAUAAAUGUAGUAAUAAAUUGGCAAAAUGACUUAAACUUGACUAUUCUGUUAACUGUCUUGUGCAAGUUUUUGAAAUUGACACUACCUGUUUAGCAAAGGUUUUCAGCUAGAGAUGUCGUGCAGGAGCUUGUAGGGAUUUGUAGUCUUGCAUGUCGUCUACUCUGAUGCUAGUUAGCAUUUUUGAAAUAUGAGCGGAAAUAGAACCGACUACAUUGAUCAGUCACCUUGUCCGAGAGGGAUUUACAUGGUCAUCAAAACAUCACAUCAAGCCUAAACAAAACACGGCCCUUUAUUUUAAGUGUUUCUAAAAUCACCUAUGGGGGAAAAUGGUGUGAUUGGUGUGAAAGCGAUUUGAAACCAUUUCCCUGUUUAACGGGUAUUACGACACCUCCACUGUGGGGCUCUAUAACGAUGCAAACAUAUCCUUGACAAGGAAGAACCUGUCACACAACGGAGAAGACAGUUAAGAGGGACGUACGUUUGUUUGUUUUUUCCUCCCAUUUUAUUUUAUAAUGUAAAUAUAUGAGUCUUUGUGCCUGUACAGUUACACUGGACCAUUUUUGAAUUAGUGGGGAAUUUCUUCUAACUAAAAGUGAUGAAUUAUAAUGUUUUAUGCUAUAAAACAUGGCCAUGGUCAUACACGGCCAAUGAUUCACUCAGGGGCUACUUUUGAGUUUCUGUUACCUUCUCACUCCAGGAUCUGAAGGGUUUAUGAUGAGCAAUCUAUUAUCAGGCAUAAACUGCUAAAAACCUGUACUGUCAGUAGUAGUAGUAGUAGUAGAAGGUAAUUAAGCAUACUUAUUGAGAAAUUGGUCGCAAAAGAGACAGGGAUUCUUCAUUUUGUUUUCAAACGAGUUUAAUGCUUCCUUUUCUGGUGUGUCCUCUGUAUUUUAGAUGGGACUUUGUUUAAAGCAUGUAUUUGUGGGUUUAAGAUAUUUUUGAGAAGGUUGGGGUUUGCUAAUGUUUUGGAAGGUAACGGUGAAGGAAUAUAUGUUAAUAUCCUUAGGUUUGUUGAUGUGCAUAAUCUAAAAAGUCCAUUUAAUAUUUAACUGUUAAACUCCACGUUUUGUACACUGUAUAGUUAAACACAACUUAAAAUGUAAGUUGUUAUACUGGAUCAUAGCUAGAAAGUCUUGACAAUUUAAAUUGAUAACUUGAGUUUUGCAAUGUUUGUACAUAGGUCUCUGCAUAUUAAGACUUGUAAAUCGAGGUUCAAAUGGUUGAUGCGCUGUUUUACUUUGAAAACACCUGAAAUCUCUUGAUAUCCAAUAAUACGGGCAAUAUACCUGGGCUCAGACAUUGACUGUUAUGUUGUAAAAAGAUGUAUUGGUCUUGAAAGGCUGCACAUUAUUUGAGACAUUUUGUAUUGUGUAGACCACAGCAUUCUAAGCUCUAGUUGGAGGAUGUGUACAUUGCUUUCCUUACACUGCAACACCGUUUUAAGGGUAAAUGCUGCAUUUCAGGAGACUUUUUAUACCAAAAAAUUGUUUCUGACCGGAGAUGCGGUACUGCUCAACUUUUGAUAGUUUCCUUUUCCCAGUGAUGACCAAAUCCAAUGUCUUAUGUGCCGCUUAUACAUGAACUUUGGAACUCUGGUUGCAGGCACACGCACCCUGUAUGUGCAGCAGGAAACGCAUAUUGACCCACAACUAAUUUUACACACACUCUUUCCAUGUAACAAACAGUUUUAUAUAAUUAAAGGUGAUUGGAUGGAUGCAUGUUUUUGAUAUACAUACAUACACUCGCACACAAGGGCUUUUAAAGUGGAAACUAUGAAAUCUGCAAAGAGGUUCAAUUUAAAUAAGUGUGUUUUGACAGAGCUAGGCUAUGUUUACAUUUGCUAUAGUAUUCUGAAGCCUUCCAGCGAUCUUGCACUCCCCACUUACCUAAACAUUGACUUGUUUGACUGGAGAAAAGGGAACAAGCACGCCCCACUCUAGAUAGACUUUAAAUGCAUGUAAAUAGUUUAUGUUAACAUAUACAUUUCCAAGUGGUUUGCUACCACAUCAAUGUUAGAGCUGGUAAUCUCUCGUGGACCGACUACGUAAACAUACAGUUGAAGUCGGAAUAGUACAUACACCUUAGCCAAAUACAUUUAAACUCAUUUUUUUUAAAUGACUGACAUUUAAUCCUCGUAAAAAUUCCCAGUCUUAGGUCAGUUAGGAUCACCAGUUUAUUUUAAGAAUGUGAAAUGUCAAUAAUAGUAGAGUUAUUUAUUUAAUUACAUUCCCAGUGGGUCAGAGGUUUACAUACACCCAAUUAGUAUUUGGUAGCAUUGCCUUUUAAAUUGCAUAACUUGGGUCAAAUGUUUUGGGUAGCCUUCCACAAGCUUCACACAAUAAGUUGGGUGAAUUUUGACCUAUUCCUCCUGACAGAGCUGGUGUAACUGAGUCGGGUUUGUUGGCCGCCUUGCUCACACACACUUUUUCAGUUCUGCCCACAAAUGUUCGAUAGGAUUGCGGUCAGGGCUUUGUGAUGGCCACUUCAAUACCUGGACUUUGUUGUCCUUAAGCCGUUUUGCCUCAUCUUCGGGAAGUAUGUUUGGGGUCAUUGUCCAUUUGGAAGACCCGUUUGCGACCAAGCUUUAACUUCCUGACUAAUGUCUUGAUGUUGCUUUAAUAUAUCCACAUAAUUUUUCUUUCUCAUGAUGCCAUCUAUUUUGUGAAGUGCACCAGUCCCUCCUGCAGCAAAGCACCCCCACAACAUGAUGCUGCCACCCAUGUGCUUCACAGUUGGGAUGGUGUUCUUCGGCUUGCAAGCUUCCCCCUUUUUCCUCCAAACAUAACGAUGGUCAUUAUGGUCAAACGGUUCUAUUUUUGUUUCAUCAGACCACAGGACAUUUCUCCAAAAAGUACGAUCUUUGUGCAUUUGCAAACCGUAGUCUGUCUUUUUUAUGGCGGUUUUGGAGCAGUGGCUACUUCCCUGCUGAGCGGCCUUUCAGGUUAUGUCGAUAUAGGACUUGUUUUACUGUGGAUAUAGAUACUUGGGUACCUGUUUCCUCCAGCAUCUUCACAAUGUCCUUUGCUGUUCUGGGAUUGACUUGCACUUUUCGCACCAAAGUACGUUCAUCUCUAGGAGACAGAAAGGGUCACCUUCCUGAGCGGUAUGACGGCUGCGCGGUCCCAUGGUGUUUAUACUUGCGUGCUAUUGUUUGUACAGAUGAAUGUGGUACCUUCAGGUGCUUGGAAAUUGCUCCCAAGGAUUAACCAGACUUGUGGCGGUCUAUAAUUGUUUUUCUGAGGUCUUUGCUGAUCUUUUGAUUUUUCCCAUGAUGUCAAGCAAAGAGGCAUUGAGUUUGAAGGUAGGCCUUGAAAUACAUCCACAAGUACACCUCCAGUUGUCUCAAAUUAUGUCAAUUAGCCUAUCAGAGUCUUCUAAAGCCAUGACAACAUUUUCAGGAUUUUUCCAAGCUGUUUCAAGGCACAGUCAACUUAAGUGUAUGUAAACUGCUGACCCACUGGAAUUGUGAUGCAGUGAAAUAAUCUCUCUGUAAACAAUUGUUUGAAAAAUUACUUGUUAUGCACAAAGUAGAUGCCCUAACUGACUUGCCAAAACUAUAGUUUGUUAACAAGAAAUUUGUGGAGUGGUUGAAAAAUGAGUUUUAAUGACUCCAACCUAAGUGUAUGUAAACUUCCGACUUCAACUGUUAAUGGUACUGACCAAUUUACAUCAGAAUUUAGUUCUGGGUUAACUGAGAAAGUGCUGAGGACAAUCUUGUUUUUUCCCCCUGUGAAAGUGAUCGUGUGAAAAUGGUGACUAGCUCAGUCAGCUUGAGGAGACUAGUGUUGGUCUCAUGAGUAUUGUUGCUGUGAGAUUUGUACUUUUUUUUUGUUUAGUUUGCUAAGAUUAAGAUGGAACCAAGCUGUCUGUGUACUUUAGUCUUGACCUGUAUCACAGUGGCUGGCUGCACUACCUCCUCAGCAGCACCAUUUUACACACUGCUCGACUACAUUCCAUGGUCAUUUAACUUUCACUUUUUGUGCACCAAUGUCUCCAGUCUACUGUAAGAUGUGCAAGUUCCCAGUAUAUUGGGAAGAGUCAGCUGGUUACUUCAUCACAGUCCACUGUAACGCAUGAUUGAAGACAGUCACACACAGGCCUAUUAUUCCAGAGUAGAUGGAAUGUACUUGUUCCAUAAUCAGAAUUAUAAUGCUCUUGAUAUCAAAGAUAAUUAUCAGAAUGAUGUCAUAUCACUACACCUGUCACUUCUGACUAUUACCAUGAUUUUAUGCAAUGUAAAAAUGUUACUGGGAUAGAUGUAUGGUCUUGCAUAGGUUAACUUCAAUAAAUGGUUUGCAUUUCA